CCCCUAGACGUUCUGGGCUGCACGCGCGCUACAAUAAUACGCACAGCGAGUAUCACCGAGCUCGAAAGGGCAAGGUAAACAAUAGAAAAGGUACUGUAAUGGUUAUAGAUCCUUGUAAUUAUUGAUCUUCAACGAGGAAUUCCUAGUAAGUAUGUGUCAUCAUCACGCACUGAUUACGUCCCUGCCCUUUGUACACACCGCCCGUCGCUCCUACCGAUUGAGUGAGCCGAUGAAACUGCCGGAUGUGGACUAUUCAUAGUCUGCAGAAGAUAUUUGAAUCGUAGCGCUUAGAGGAAGGAGAANUCGUAACA
RNAcentral lists this ribosomal RNA (311 nucleotides) under uncultured eukaryote. Its description in RNAcentral is "partial 18S ribosomal RNA". It matches the Rfam family "Eukaryotic small subunit ribosomal RNA", at positions 1470 to 1796 of the family's 1831-position model. The record is from RNAcentral.